CUUUUAAAAUUGACAAGUCAUUAAAAAAAAACACAUCACCAAAUCACUCUUUUCUCGAACCUUUUCAACAUUACGCCGAUUUUCCAAUAUCUCUUUGGUCUUCUCCCGAUUCAUCUACCUCUGCAAAAACAAUUUUACUCAAUUUUUUUCAGCUUUCCUCCUUCUCUCCUUACUCACUAUAUAAGACGGUGGUUGAUUUACGAAAGAUUCCUCUCACUAAAACCACCAGAUCUCUUCAUGGCCUCCGGGGAAAACGAGUAGUUAGUAACGGCGUUCGGUUUUGGUUCCAUCACUUUACCUCUGUAUACAGUUUACUGUAAAAAUAAAUUAUUCCUUCAUAUUUGGUGAGUCACUGAACGCCUUGCUCCUGGUACAUAAAAAACAUUACUUAACUUUUGUACACUUUUCUUUGAAAAGUGUUCUUCGGAGUUGUCUGUGAUUUCUUUUUUUUUUUUGAUAUUUUUAUCAUAUUGUGAGAGAGAUGGAGGACUUCGAGUUCCAUCACUGGUGGAGCCUACGGUUAAAGUUGUUGGAGAUUUAAAAGGAGGAGAUGACGCUUUACAGGAGAGGAUUUGUCAUCUGUUUUUUCAGGGACCAACGGAAAAUGGGCAAAUUGAUGUUCACUUUCAGGAUCUGUAUAGCGCAAGAACAACGUUCGAGCAGGCCCGACUUCAUUUGGUCAUCACUUUUUCUUAUGCUAUGAGAAUUUCCAAGAUAUUUCCUUUGCUUCAAGCUGCGAGUCAACACCAUCACAUGUAGAAACUAAAUGAGGAUCAUGGUGUGUAUUGCCUCUCUCUCUCUCUCAAAUACUUGAAACAGAAAUCUUUAGCUCAUUCAAGUCGAAGGCUUUAUCUAGAGUUCCCUAAAUGAGCUUUUGCUACAAUAUAUGUACAUGUUUUGUUUUCUUACAGGUUAUAUCGUUUUUGUUAACGGCUUAUGCUCAAACAUCCAUGCGGCAGAUUUUCCUCUUCCAUGUUAUUCUCAUAAGAAAGAUGAAAUCUUCGAUUUCUAUUCGUCUGAAAGCCCAAAACAAACGUUGAUCUCGAAGUUUAUGUGCAGCAGAUGAGAAUCAGCAGGGACUAUCCAUAAAGAUAUAAGGAGAUGGGCAUUCAACUUCUUCCACGCUGAUCAACAAGAAACCAGGUUUCUAUGGAAGCAUAAACCCACGGAAACUGAUCACUUUAAGCUGAUAUGGAUGAAUGCAGACCUCUGUGUAAGAGGACAUAGCGUUUGAUGCGUUGUGUUAUCAGAUCUGGUUGAAGAUUUAGAGGAUGGGGAUCGUACUUCUCAGCCAAAGGACAAAGUUGUGACAUGGAACCUGCCAUUUCGAAGUGAUACCUCAUAUUUGGUCCUGUCUACAACAUAAGAGAAGUACGGAGUUAGGUACUCGAGGCUGAGAUACUUACAUGAUGCAAAAGAGGUUAUCAUAAGCCAUGGGGCGGAUCUCAUCUCAGGUAUUAUUCCCUGAUCUCCACUCAACGAAACCUGACGCGUAACAGAAGGAAUCAGAGGACAACAAGGCCAGUGGUGGAUCUGAUGAGAGAUUUUUCGUAUAGCCAUAUACAUAGCGGGUGGGAUAUGAACCAGUAGCUGUAAUGUUUUGCAUUAUCCUUGCAUUAUCAGUAAAUGACAAUUAGAAGUUACAGCUACUUGCCUUUUUCUUCUACGGUUAAGUUUAUCGUUGUUUUAACGUAAAAGAUAAAUCGGAAGAGUAGACGUGUUGAUAAUUCUGUAGUAGAGUCUUAGGUGUAUCUCUUUAGUUUGAGGGUUAGUUUCAGUAGAAUCUAUGUGCCAUCUUUUGGUUGUAUCUGGUGAAGCUGAAGUUCUUGGUGGGAAUAUGAAAAAGCAGAUAAUGGAUGAGUCUGAGAAUUUGAGUUUGAACUGACUGGUGCCGCCUCAUCCUCCACCGCUUCCACCAUCUCCAGGAUAUGAAUCAAGAGAGGUUGAGGGAGACAGCAUAACCUAAAAACAGAUCAACAAGUUCCCUCAUCCUCUUUGCUGCUAUUGAGGCUGCAGCUCAGAGGCCUAAUCUCCUUCUUGGUUUUGACAAUUCUUGUGAAGGUUUUAUAUCACUGAAGAGGAAAAUCAAAAUUUUCUCGAGUUUUUAUAAUCUUCUGCUAUAGAUUGGGUAGAGCCUCUUUAGAUCAAAAUAAUUAUGAAGGUCGAUAUCAAUAUCUAUUGGUGUCUAUUGGAGAUUCAAAUUUUUAUGUACGGUUACAAUAAUAUGAGUUCAACUUUCAAGUCUAGGAAACUUUGUUUUCGCAAAAAAACUAACAAUUAACUGAUUAGUCGAAGCUAAUAUACUCUUUGAAAGUCUAUGAGAACAUU
This is a long non-coding RNA of Brassica napus (rape), 2328 nucleotides long. RefSeq lists it as uncharacterized. Lineage: Eukaryota; Viridiplantae; Streptophyta; Magnoliopsida; Brassicales; Brassicaceae. The record is from RefSeq and is a predicted model, not a curated record. The transcript is spliced from 10 exons.